RNAcentral lists this ribosomal RNA (117 nucleotides) under Sinocyclocheilus grahami. The record is from RNAcentral. Lineage: Eukaryota; Metazoa; Chordata; Actinopteri; Cypriniformes; Cyprinidae.
GCCAGCAGCCAUGUCACCCUGCAGCCCAAGACUGGUUGCCCACUGAAGCUAAGCAGGGCUGAGCCUGGUCAGUACCUGGAUGGGAGACCACCUGAGAAAACCAGGUUGCUGCUGGAA